Molecule: long non-coding RNA, 317 nt
Organism: Oncorhynchus masou masou (cherry salmon)
Lineage: Eukaryota; Metazoa; Chordata; Actinopteri; Salmoniformes; Salmonidae
Exons: 3
Source: RefSeq, a predicted model, not a curated record
CUAAGAACAUUAACAAGUCACUGUCUUCCCUGGGCAACGUCAUCUCUGCUCUGGCCGAAGGAAAUAAGACCCAUGUCCCGUACCGUGACAGUAAGAUGACCCGAAUCCUGCAGGACUCUCUAGGGGGAAACUGUAGAACCACCAUGUUCAUCUGCUGCUCUCCAUCCAGCUACAACGACCAGGAGACCAAGUCCACACUCAUGUUCGGACAACGAGCUAAGACCAUCAGGAACAAGGCCUCGGUCAACCUGGAGCUGACAGCAGAACAGUGGAAGAAGAAGUACGAGAAGGAGAAGGAGAAGAACAGGGUGAUGAAG